AUGAGGAAAAUGGGGGGAAAAGGGGGGAAAAUGGGGGAAAUGGUGAAAAAUGGGGAAAAUGUGGAAAAAAGGGGAAAAAAUUGGCAAAAUGGGGAAAAUUGGGGAGAAAUGGGAAAAAAUGAGGGAAAUGGGGAAAAAUGGGGGGAAAUGGGAAAGUUGGGGGAAAAAUGGGGGGAAAUAGGGAAAAAAUGGGUGAAAAUAGGGAAAAAAUGGGGAAAAUGUGGGAAAAAAGGAGGGAAAAUUUGGAAAAAUGGGGAAAAAAUGAGGAAAAAAAGGGGGAAAUGGGAAAAAAUGGGGAAAAAAGAGGAAAAAAUGGGGAAAAUGGGAAAAAAUGGGGGAAAAAGAGGAAAAAACGGAAUUUUGUCUGGGCCCCGCAGCGCGGCCGCGAUGGCGCCGAUGGCGACGGGAGCAGGUGAGGCGGUGACGUCACGGAGGGGCGGUGACGUCAUCGGUGACGUCAUCGGUGACGUCACUAACGCGGCCCCUCCCCUCCCCCCAGCGGCGCUGACGGAGCGGGAGAGGUUCGAGUACGAUUACGACUCUCUGCGCCUCGGGGGUCUCGUCGUGGCCGGGAUCUUCUUCGUGCUCGGGAUCCUCCUCAUCCUCAGACGGGGGAGCCGGACGAGUCCGAGGGGCCCCUGCGGCAAUCGAUGCGGCGUCUCUCCACGCGCAUGAGAUGAAAUUUGGGAAUUUCAGCCCCAGGAGCCCAAAUUUUGGGGGUCCCGGAGCCGCCCCCCCAAGAUCCCAAAAAUCCCAAAAAUCCCCAAAAAAUCCCCAAA
RNAcentral lists this long non-coding RNA (779 nucleotides) under Lonchura striata (white-rumped munia). RNAcentral's name for it is "domestica (Bengalese finch) lncRNA (ENSLSDG00000003695.1)". Lineage: Eukaryota; Metazoa; Chordata; Aves; Passeriformes; Estrildidae. The record is from RNAcentral.